This 70-nucleotide transfer RNA is filed under the name Pristomyrmex punctatus. RNAcentral describes it as "tRNA-Glu". Lineage: Eukaryota; Metazoa; Arthropoda; Insecta; Hymenoptera; Formicidae. The record is from RNAcentral.
UUAAAUAUAGUUUAAAUUAUAAACCAUUAUAUUUUCAUUAUAAAAAUAAUAUUCUAAAUAUUUAUUUAAA